UACGAACGCUGGCGGCGUACCUAAUACAUGCAAGUCGAGCUAACUGAUGGGAGCUUGCUCCCUGAGAUUAGCGGCGGAAGGGUGAGUAACACGUGGGCAACCUGCCUAUAAGACUGGGAUAACUUCGGGAAACCGGAGCUAAUGCCGGAUACGUUCUUUUCUCGCAUGAGAGAAGAUGGAAAGACGGUUUACCCUGUCACUUAUAGAUGGGCCCGCGCCGCAUUAGCUAGUUGGUGAGGUAAUGGCUCACCAAGGCGAGGAUGUGUAGCCGACCUCAGAGAGUGAUCGGCCACACAGGGACUGAGACACGGCCCAGACUCCUACGGGAGGCAGCAGCAGGGAAUCUUUCGCAAUGGACGAAAGUCUUACGGAGCAACGCCGCGUGAACGAAGAAGGCCUUCGGGUCGUAAAGUUCUGUUGUUAGGGAAGAACAAGUACCAGAGUAACUGUUGGUACCUUGACGGUACCUAACCAGAAAGCCAAGGCUCACUACGUGCCAGCAGCCGCGGUAAUACGUAGGUGGCAAGCGUUGUCCGGAACUAUUGGGCGUAAAGAGCGCGCAGGUGGUUCCUUAAGUCUGAUGUGAAAG
This 589-nucleotide ribosomal RNA is filed under the name uncultured Bacillus sp. RNAcentral describes it as "bacterial SSU rRNA". It matches the Rfam family "Bacterial small subunit ribosomal RNA", at positions 28 to 600 of the family's 1533-position model. The record is from RNAcentral. Lineage: Bacteria; Bacillati; Bacillota; Bacilli; Caryophanales; Bacillaceae.